RNAcentral lists this ribosomal RNA (370 nucleotides) under uncultured Desulfosarcina sp. Its description in RNAcentral is "bacterial SSU rRNA". It matches the Rfam family "Bacterial small subunit ribosomal RNA", at positions 1013 to 1382 of the family's 1533-position model. The record is from RNAcentral. Lineage: Bacteria; Pseudomonadati; Thermodesulfobacteriota; Desulfobacteria; Desulfobacterales; Desulfosarcinaceae.
AGUGCCUUCGGGGAACUCGGUGACCGGUGCUGCAUUGGCUGUCGUCAGCUCGUGUCGUGAGAUGUUGGGUUAAGUCCCGCAACGAGCGCAACCCCUAUCUUUAGUUACCAUCAUUCAGUUGGGGACUCUAAAGAUACUGCCCCGGGUCAACGGGGAGGAAGGUGGGGAUGACGUCAAGUCCUCAUGGCCCUUAUGCCCAGGGCUACACACGUGCUACAAUGGACUGUACAAAGGGUUGCAACCCGCAAGGAUGAGCCAAUCCCAAAAAGCAGUCCUAAGUUCGGAUUGGAGUCUGCAACUCGACUCCAUGAAGUUGGAAUCGCUAGUAAUCGCGGAUCAGCACGCCGCGGUGAAUACGUUCCCGGGCCUU